GAGCGGAUGAAGAGAGCUUGCUCUCUGAUUCAGCGGCGGACGGUUGAGUAAUGCCUAGGAAUCUGCCUGAUAGUGGGGGACAACGUUUCGAAAGGAACGCUAAUACCGCAUACGUCCUACGGGAGAAAGCAGGGGACCUUNGGGCCUUGCGCUAUCAGAUGAGCCUAGGUCGGAUUAGCUAGUUGGUGAGGUAACGGCUCACCAAGGCGACGAUCCGUAACUGGUCUGAGAGGAUGAUCAGUCACACUGGAACUGAGACACGGUCCAGACUCCUACGGGAGGCAGCAGUGGGGAAUAUUGGACAAUGGGCGAAAGCCUGAUCCAGCCAUGCCGCGUGUGUGAAGAAGGUCUUCGGAUUGUAAAGCACUUUAAGUUGGGAGGAAGGGCAUUAACCUAAUACGUUAGUGUUUUGACGUUACCGACAGAAUAAGCACCGGCUAACUUCGUGCCAGCAGCCGCGGUAAUACGAAGGGUGCAAGCGUUAAUCGGAAUUACUGGGCGUAAAGCGCGCGUAGGUGGUUUGUUAAGUUGAAUGUGAAAGCCCCGGGCUCAACCUGGGAACUGCAUCCAAAACUGGCAAGCUAGAGUAUGGCAGAGGGU
RNAcentral lists this ribosomal RNA (600 nucleotides) under bacterium Co.S24. RNAcentral's name for it is "bacterial SSU rRNA". It matches the Rfam family "Bacterial small subunit ribosomal RNA", at positions 64 to 659 of the family's 1533-position model. The record is from RNAcentral.